UAACCAAAUGGUGGCUACUGGAAAAGUGA
RNAcentral lists this non-coding RNA (29 nucleotides) under Homo sapiens (human). The record is from RNAcentral. Lineage: Eukaryota; Metazoa; Chordata; Mammalia; Primates; Hominidae.